This 1132-nucleotide long non-coding RNA is filed under the name Sipha flava (yellow sugarcane aphid). RNAcentral describes it as "uncharacterized LOC112685332, transcript variant X1". The record is from RNAcentral. Lineage: Eukaryota; Metazoa; Arthropoda; Insecta; Hemiptera; Aphididae.
UUCUCGUAAUUUCCAACUCGUUAGGAUGGCAGGUUGUAGGCAUAGGUCCCGAUAGGUCCAGGUUCAAUUCCGAGCCAUCGCCGCCCGGCUUCUUUGCAGGAUUAUACGCUGCCGCCGUUGACUUGUACGGGCGUCGUUUCCGCUCCCGUGGAAUCUGUUUUUGUUUUCCGUCCGUCGCGUCUGAUUUUCGCCGCCGCCGUUUGUUAUCAACCACCGCCGCCGUGUCUUAUCGACGGGAGUGUUGAUCCCGCUCGCGGUUUCUUUUCUAUUUAUUUUCCGCCGUCCGUCAAGUCCGUUUUUUUCUUUUCGUUUCAAACUUUUUUUUGUGAAAUCGUUUUCAUCGCUUCAAUCGUAUUAUUUAAUACAUGUUAUUACAUAUUCGAUUUGUUUUACCGAAAAUUAUUUAUCCGUUUUUCUUUACUCAUGUUGAUUUGAUGUGUAACGUUAUUGUUGAACGCUUACACACAGCUGUGAAACGAAGAAAACAUCAUAAUACGUUUAAAAUAUAGUUUGUUUUUUUAUCAGCGUUAAGUACGUUCAAUACGAUUUGUUUUGCCAAACGAUAUAGGGAGAUAGCUGUUGUUUGAUUUAUUUAUACUUUUUUUGAAUGGAAAGGAAUUGAAUUCAAAGGGUCUUCGGUGCUAACGAUACUGUUCAAAACGUUCACAGCUAUAAAACAACGAGUACUCGUUAUGAGUGUUACAACAUCAGUCGUUACACUUGGACGAAAGGAAAUUAAAACUUUUGUGAUGUAAUGUAAAUAAGAAAACCCGAUUGAUUUGAUGUGAAAUGCUGUAAUGAUAUUAUAAAAUGCACACACAGCUAUAAAAUAAUGAAAAAAACAUGGAAUAAUGCAGUUACUACUUCGGUACUAAUGAUUAACUAAUAAAAACAAACACAACUAUAAACUAAAGAAAACAUGGUAUGCCAUGCAUUUUUCAACUCAUUCUUUCAAUUAUGUAUGUUGAAUGUUAUAUUUUCGGUUUGUAUAAAUAAGUCUUAUAGUAUCAGUUUUUACACUUGGAUGAAAGGAAAUGAAUAUAAAUUAAAACUUAUGUGAUAUUAUAAGGAUAAUAGUAAACCCAGUAUGUUUUAGCAUUAAUGUAAAUUAUUUUCUUUGUAUAAUAUAUGC